GGGAGGCUGUGGCUCAGUGGUUAAGGCGUUUGUCCUUUAACCAGAAGGUCGGUGGUUUGAUCCCAUUUUUCCCU
Molecule: transfer RNA, 74 nt
Filed under: Hippoglossus stenolepis (Pacific halibut)
Lineage: Eukaryota; Metazoa; Chordata; Actinopteri; Pleuronectiformes; Pleuronectidae
Description: tRNA-Lys
Source: RNAcentral